CUUAGUAAUAAAUAUGUAUGUACAUGAUAAUAAAACAUAAUCAUAUAAUAAUCAUAAUAGAUUUGUUUAAAUCAAAACAAACAUAAUACAAACAACUUAAUUAAAAUAUAAAAAAACAUAAACAUCAAUUAAAGAUUACAUUGUGAAACAUAAAUUGAAAAACCUAAAGUUGGUCACAGGCAAAUAAUGAAAGCAAGUUUAGUUCAAUUUCAAAUAACACCAAAUAUAAAUCACAUUUUUUCUUUACAAGAAACUUUUUUUUUAUUGUUCGUAUGAUUUUCCUUCUUCCAAUAUUUGUUCUUGUUUUUUUUGUCUUCUCCAAUUUAAAAACGAAAAAAGAAAAAGUAUAAAUAGAUGUUGAUUGAUGUACAUUAAACACAUUCUUCUUGAAAACAUAAGAGUCAAUGCAUACAUUAAACUAUUUAAAGUCCCAAUGUGCCACUCAAGAUGACCAAUAGAGUUUCUCCUUUAUCUUUUUUCUUUUUCUUUUUACGAAGAUAAAAUUAAUUUAUUAACUGUAAUUCCCUUUUAGAUAACCCAUGUCUUUUAUUUAUUAUUUGAAUAAUAGCUAAUGAGUCAUCCAAAAAAUUAAAAUAGCCCAAAUAUCAUUUUAGAUGAUCUAUUUAUUUAAUUCAUUAAUCUGAACGAUAGUUAAAAGGCUGAUCUGAAAAUUUAAAAUAGACACAAAAUGUUGGCGAAUUUGAUCAAGACCCAAAACUACAAGAAAAUAAGCUCAGUAACACAAAAAAUAAGGUACAAAAAUUAAAAUAAAAAUAAAAAUGAAAUUCAAAAAAUAAUAAUUAAAAAAUUCAAGCCACAACUUUAACAUGGUAAAACUGGAAAAAUACUAACAAACCAAUACAAAUCCGUCCUCAAAAUGACUUAUUUUGUUAAAAGGAAAUGAUGAUGACAAAUUUGAAUAGAGGUUUAGAGGGGGGGAAGAUUGACAUUAAUUUUCGGUCGAAUGGGGUUGCCAAAAGACUUCACCAGAAAUUUUUUAUGGUUUUUUGACAAAUUCAGAUCAAAGAAUAGCCCUUAAAGAUAUCCACACAUUUAUGUAAAGGGUAUGAUAUCGCGAUGAUCGUAACUUCGUAAAUCUAAACAAAAAGUGAAGAUUUAUGUUUAGCUUUUCUUAGAUCUCGGAUUUUGGCUAUGUAUAUGGAUGAAUGAUUUUCAUAUUUGUGUAGAAAAGGGUGAAAAGAAGAGAUGAUAAAGUUUUUGGAUAUUUUUCCGGUGACACGGUGGUGGCCAACGCCGAUAGUGACAGCGCCGGGAAGGUGGAAGAAAAAUUGGUGAGAAAAUAAAGUUUAAUUUUGGAGUUUCUUAUUUUGUUAGGGUCCCAUAUAAGACCUUGAAUAAAAAUAUCAUGAAUGGUUGAUAUUGGAUCUUGACCAUUUCUAUUGGAUCGAGUUGUAAUUGAUUGGGCCAUAAACAAUUGGUUUUGAUCAGCCAAGUUAAAACAAAAUUAGGUAAUUUGACUAAUAAAAAAUACAAACAAAGACAAUCAACAAAAAAAUACAAAGAAUAUAUAAAAAAUACACUAUAUUAUAUUAUAGGAAUAAAAUAAAUAAGCCAAAAUUAGGUGUUCACACCAUACCCCUAUUGGUUUCGAAAAAUGGACAUUUUUCAAUCAAAAUAAGUGAACGAAGUGGCUAAUGUUUUCCUGUUUCAGUCUCCGAUGAAACCAUUUUUAAAAAUAUUAGGAACCUUGCUUCAGAGGUUGCCUAGAUAUCCUUGAUCUUAAGAAAAUCAGGGCAGUGUAGUUAGAGAAACUUUGAUAGCCAAAACUAUCAUGAACAGUGGCCAAUAGAUUGCUUCAUCAUGAUUUUCGUCAUCUACCAUCUAUAAUUACAAAGAAAAGAGCUAGAUAAUGAUUCCUCUAUAUAUUAUAAAAGUUCAAAUAUCUCCACUUGAUAUUUUUUCUUAGCGUCUCAUUUUUAGCUUUGAUUUGUUCAUUGCGUUAUCUCUGAGAUUUAUCUUUGUACUCUCUCGGUGGCUUGUCGAUCACUCUCACAUGCAUAUUUUGACUUGAGUUGGCGGUUGAAACUCAAAAUAAAGAUCACAAAUUAAGAAUAAAAAAAGAUUGUGUUUCUUUUAGUAAAUAACAAAAAAUAAGAAUCUUAAACUAGGACGUAUAACCCUAGAAAGAAGAGGAGGAAUGAGUGUAUUUCCCUAUGAGUUUAAAAUGAGAUGUAUGGUCUUUAUGGAUUGACCUAAUAUUAGGUGUAUCAACUAAAUGUGAAUAUAGUGUAUAUAAGCCAUGGAUUUUGGUGUGUAUUCCGCAGGUUUUGCAUAUGGUGAGUCUUUCCAUAAAUAGAGAAUUGUUAUGUUUUACAUAUGAAUAAGGACUGGGACGAAUUGUACUUGAAAAAAAUCUAGUGUGUAUUGAACAUGAAUGCAUUAUCAUUUUGUAUUGCAUGGGACAUGGAUUGGUACAUCUAGGUCAUGAAAUAAAGGUAGGUAAGAGAGAGUAGCGGGUGUUACAAUAAAUUGUUGAUAUAGUUCAACCUCCCAAGUGGACUCAUGAUUUCUGUCUUAUUAUUCGAAGGUGGAGAAUCCAAAAUGGCUUUUAUUUCGUAAGUUUUACAAAUGGAACUCCAAAUGCACAUUUUUUUGGAUUAAACUUGAGAUUAUACCUUCAAAGUCUUUCAAAGAAUUCUCUUAGAUCUUGGACAUGGUCAACUUUCAUUUUAGACUUGAUUAUUACGUCGUCGACGUAAAAUUCAAUUUAUUUAUGCAUCAUAUCAUGAAAUAUGGUGGUCAUAGCCGUCAUGUAAGUUACCUAGUCAUUAAUAAGACCAAAUGUCAUGACCCUUUAGCAAUAAGUCUACCAUAGAGCAAUGAAAAAGUUUUCUCAGCGUCGUCUUCAUCCAUCAAGAUUUCAUGAUACCCCGCAUAACAGGCCUCAAAAGAUUCAAUGUAUUGUUUCUUUAAUCAUUGUCUAUAAUGUCGAUAUUUGGAAAGUGAAAGUUUUCCUUUGGACUAGCCUUGUUAAAAUGUCGAUAGUCAAUAGAGAUUGUUUUCAUUCCAUCCUUUUUCCGCAUAGGAACAACAUUUUAAAACUAAGUAGUGUAAUGAAUGACUUGGAUCACAUUUGCAUUUCAUUAUUUCAUGACUUCUUCCUUAAUAUUUUGACUCAGGUAUGGUUUAAAUUUCCUUUUUCUCUGUUGGACGGGUGGAAUAUCUAGAUGAUUGGGCAAAUUAUGAACCACUAAAUCAACACUCAAACCUGACAUUUCAUCUUAAGAUCAAUAAAAAACAUCUUAGUAUUCAAACAAAAGUUGUAUUAUGACAUUUCUAAUUCCUUGAUUGUUAUGAAGAAUUAAUUUUAUUGUCUUAACUUCCUCAGUACUUCCCAAAUUUAUUGUCUAGGUUUCACUAAGAUUAGUCUUAGGUUUAUGCUUAAACUAUUGUG
RNAcentral lists this long non-coding RNA (3415 nucleotides) under Solanum lycopersicum (tomato). Its description in RNAcentral is "long non-coding RNA (SLYC_LNC001041)". The record is from RNAcentral. Lineage: Eukaryota; Viridiplantae; Streptophyta; Magnoliopsida; Solanales; Solanaceae.